GUUGUUCAUUGGCGCCGGACUAUCAGCGCCCGGCUUUGCCGGUGCCGCAGCAAUUUUCUUUAAAACAGAAUGCCCUGGUACCGGCUCCUGGUGAAUAUCA
This 100-nucleotide transfer RNA is filed under the name Citrobacter freundii. RNAcentral describes it as "tRNA-Gly(gcc)". The record is from RNAcentral. Lineage: Bacteria; Pseudomonadati; Pseudomonadota; Gammaproteobacteria; Enterobacterales; Enterobacteriaceae.